Molecule: ribosomal RNA, 174 nt
Filed under: uncultured bacterium
Lineage: Bacteria
Description: partial 16S ribosomal RNA
Rfam family: Bacterial small subunit ribosomal RNA
Source: RNAcentral
CCUACGGGAGGCAGCAGUGGGGAAUAUUGCGCAAUGGGCGAAAGCCUGACGCAGCGACGCCGCGUGAGGGAUGAAGGCCUUCGGGUUGUAAACCUCUUUCAGCAGGGACGAAGCGAAAGUGACGGUACCUGCAGUAAAAGCACCGGCUAACUACGUGCCAGCAGCCGCGGUAAU